AACGAACGCUGGCGGCAGGCUUAACACAUGCAAGUCGAACGCCCCGCAAGGGGAGUGGCAGACGGGUGAGUAACGCGUGGGAACAUACCCUUUCCUGCGGAAUAGCUCUGGGAAACUGGAAUUAAUACCGCAUACGCCCUACGGGGGAAAGAUUUAUCGGGGAAGGAUUGGCCCGCGUUGGAUUAGCUAGUUGGUGGGGUAAAGGCAUACCAAGGCGACGAUCCAUAGCUGGUCUGAGAGGAUGAUCAGCCACAUUGGGACUGAGACACGGCCCAAACUCCUACGGGAGGCAGCAGUGGGGAAUAUUGGACAAUGGGCGAAAGCCUGAUCCAGCCAUGCCGCGUGAGUGAUGAAGGCCUUAGGGUUGUAAAGCUCUUUCACCGAUGAAGAUAAUGACGGUAGUCGGAGAAGAAGCCCCGGCUAACUUCGUGCCAGCCGCCGCGGUAA
Molecule: ribosomal RNA, 447 nt
Filed under: uncultured bacterium
Lineage: Bacteria
Description: partial 16S ribosomal RNA
Rfam family: Bacterial small subunit ribosomal RNA
Source: RNAcentral